RNAcentral lists this non-coding RNA (24 nucleotides) under Rattus norvegicus (Norway rat). The record is from RNAcentral. Lineage: Eukaryota; Metazoa; Chordata; Mammalia; Rodentia; Muridae.
UUGUGGGUAUGUUGCUUUAAUUGC